Molecule: non-coding RNA, 194 nt
Organism: Zootermopsis nevadensis
Lineage: Eukaryota; Metazoa; Arthropoda; Insecta; Blattodea; Termopsidae
Source: RefSeq, a predicted model, not a curated record
AUACAGGAUUCAGCUUCUGUUGGUUGCUGAGGCUGUAUGACGAAUUGGAACCACCAAGUUCCUGUAAGAGAACGUCUCAUGACUGAAGUAUUCUUACGGAAUUCUUGUUAAAAGGGGUGUUAAACCAGAUUUCAUAAGUAACAUUCACAUGAGAAUAAAAGACUUUACAUUAAUAAAAUAUAUUCAAAUACCUG